RNAcentral lists this ribosomal RNA (556 nucleotides) under uncultured bacterium. Its description in RNAcentral is "bacterial SSU rRNA". It matches the Rfam family "Bacterial small subunit ribosomal RNA", at positions 337 to 909 of the family's 1533-position model. The record is from RNAcentral.
UCCUACGGGAGGCAGCAGUGGGGAAUAUUGCACAAUGGGGGAAACCCUGAUGCAGCAACGCCGCGUGGAGGAUGACGCAUUUCGGUGUGUAAACUCCUUUUAUAUAGGAAGAUAAUGACGGUACUAUAUGAAUAAGCACCGGCUAACUCCGUGCCAGCAGCCGCGGUAAUACGGAGGGUGCAAGCGUUACUCGGAAUCACUGGGCGUAAAGCGCGCGCAGGCGGUUUGAUAAGUUGGAUGUGAAAGCCUACGGCUCAACCGUAGAACUGCAUCCAAAACUGUCAAACUAGAGUGUGGGAGAGGAAGAUGGAAUUAGUUGUGUAGGGGUAAAAUGCGUAGAUAUAUGGAGGAACACCGGUGGCGAAAGCGGCUCUCUGGACUGUAACUGACACUGAGGCUCGAAAGCGUGGGUAGCAAACAGGAUUAGAUACCCUGGUAGUCCACGCCGUAAACGAUGAGUGCUAGUUGUUUGGGGCUAUCCAGCCCUAAGUGACGCAGCAAACGCAUUAAGCACUCCGCCUGGGGAGUACGACCGCAAGGUUGAAACUCAAAGGAA